UGCCAGCAGCCGCGGUAAUACGGGGGGGACAAGUGUUAUUCUAAAUAACUGGGCGUAAAGGGUUCGUAGGUUGGUAAUUAAGUUGAAAAGGAAAUAUUAGGGCUUAACCUUAAAAGCUGUUUCAAUACUGAUUAUCUUGAGUUUGGGAGAGGAUAGUAGAAUUUCUAAUGUAGGAAUAAAAUCCAAAGAUAUUAGAAGGAAUACCAGGAGCGAAAGCGACUAUCUGGAACAAUACUGACACUAAGGAACGAAAGCAUGGGUAGCAAACAGGAUUAGAUA
RNAcentral lists this ribosomal RNA (279 nucleotides) under uncultured bacterium. Its description in RNAcentral is "partial 16S ribosomal RNA". It matches the Rfam family "Bacterial small subunit ribosomal RNA", at positions 506 to 784 of the family's 1533-position model. The record is from RNAcentral.